AAGAACGCAGCGAAAUGCGAUAAGUAAUGUGAAUUGCAGAAUUCAGUGAACCAUCGAAUCUUUGAACGCACAUUGCGCCCGCCAGCACUCUGGCGGGCAUGCCUGUCCGAGCGUCAUCUCAACCCUCGAGCCCCCCGCCUCGCGGCGGCGGGGCCCGGCCUUGGGGGUCACGGCCCCGCGCCGCCCCCUAAACGCAGUGGCGACCCCGCCGCGGCUCCCCUGCGCAGUAGCUCACCGAGAACCUCGCACCGGAAGCGCGGAGGCGGUCACGCCGUGAAACCACCACGCCUUCCAGUUGACCUCGGAUCAG
This 310-nucleotide ribosomal RNA is filed under the name Ophiocordyceps sinensis. RNAcentral describes it as "eukaryotic LSU rRNA". The stretch from base 1 to 116 matches the Rfam family "5.8S ribosomal RNA", at positions 39 to 154 of the family's 154-position model. The record is from RNAcentral. Lineage: Eukaryota; Fungi; Ascomycota; Sordariomycetes; Hypocreales; Ophiocordycipitaceae.